This 207-nucleotide microRNA precursor is filed under the name Fragaria vesca subsp. vesca. RNAcentral's name for it is "Fragaria vesca miR11294 stem-loop (fve-MIR11294)". The record is from miRBase by way of RNAcentral. Lineage: Eukaryota; Viridiplantae; Streptophyta; Magnoliopsida; Rosales; Rosaceae.
GUACGUUAUAUGUCAACAGUCCCGUUCACCUGGACCAUAACUGACCAAAUGAAUCCUAGGGUGGAGAUAUAAUCAGCAAUAGGGCUGUGUUUUGGGAUUUCUUAAUGCAUUUUGGACCUUGGCUUGAUCUGACGGUUACUGACCAAAUUUCAUUUGGUCAGUUAUGGUCAGGUGAACGGGACUGUAUAUGUCAAACAGUUGAUGUAU